AGCGAACGCUGGCGGCAGGCUUAACACAUGCAAGUCGAACGGCAGCACAGUAAGUGCUUGCUCUUAUGGGUGGCGAGUGGCGGACGGGAGAGGAAUACAUCGGACUCUACUUUUUCGUGGGGGAUAACGAAGGGAAACUUACGACAAUAUCGCAUAUGAUCUACGGGUGAAAGCAGGGGAUCUUUGGACCUUGUGCGAUUGAACGCGCCGAUGUGGGAUUAGUUAGUUGGCGGGGUACAGGCCCACCAUGGCGACGAUCCGUAGCUGGUCGGAGAGGAUGGUCGGCCGCACUGGAGCUGGGACACCGUCCAGACUCCUACGAGAGGCAGCAGAGGGGAAUAUUAGGCAGUGGGCGCGAGCCUUGUCCAGCCGUACCACGUGUGUUGAGAAAACCUUCGGGUUGUGAAGCCCGUUUGUGGGGAAAAAAAAGCAUCAGGUUAAGACCCCGCUGUUCUGACGGUACCCGGAGAAGAAGCACCGGCUAACUACGUG
RNAcentral lists this ribosomal RNA (492 nucleotides) under uncultured bacterium. Its description in RNAcentral is "partial 16S ribosomal RNA". It matches the Rfam family "Bacterial small subunit ribosomal RNA", at positions 29 to 507 of the family's 1533-position model. The record is from RNAcentral.